AGCUUUGUGCAGUGGCAUUAUCGUAGCCAAUGAGGUUUAUCCGAAGCACGAUUAUAGCUAAUUGAAAACAAAUGAAACCCUCC
This 83-nucleotide small nuclear RNA is filed under the name Vulpes vulpes (red fox). RNAcentral's name for it is "U4 spliceosomal RNA (ENSVVUG00000029073.1)". It matches the Rfam family "U4 spliceosomal RNA", at positions 1 to 86 of the family's 138-position model. Rfam says of the family: U4 small nuclear RNA (U4 snRNA) is a component of the major U2-dependent spliceosome. The structure of U4 snRNA from yeast and human has been reported. Lineage: Eukaryota; Metazoa; Chordata; Mammalia; Carnivora; Canidae. The record is from RNAcentral.